ACUCAAAUGAAUUGACGGGGACCCGCACAAGCGGUGGAGCAUGUGGUUUAAUUCGAGGCUACGCGAAGAACCUUACCUAGGCUUGACAUGUUUGCAGUAGUCCUGGUGAAAGCCGGGGCGACCGUAUCCAAUCGGAGGCAUACACAGGUGCUGCAUGGUUGUCGUCAGCUCGUGCUGUGAAGUGUUGGGUUAAGUCCCGCAACGAGCGCAACCAUUGCUCUUAGUUGCCAUCAGGUUAAGCUGGGCACUCUAAGAGGACCGCCAGUGAUAAACUGGAGGAAGGUGGAGAUGAUGUCAAAUCAGCAUGGCCCUUACGCCUAGGGCUACACACGUGCUACAAUGGCCGGUACAAAGGGCAGCGAAUCCGCGAGGAGGAGCAAAUCCCAAAAAGCCGGCCCCAGUUCGGAUAAUAGGCUGCAAUUCGCCUGUUUGAAGCCGGAAUCGCUAGUAAUGGCGCAUCAGAACGGCGCCGUGAAUACGUUCCCGGGUCUUGUACACACCGCCCGU
Molecule: ribosomal RNA, 507 nt
Filed under: uncultured bacterium
Lineage: Bacteria
Description: partial 16S ribosomal RNA
Rfam family: Bacterial small subunit ribosomal RNA
Source: RNAcentral